RNAcentral lists this unclassified non-coding RNA (338 nucleotides) under soil metagenome. Its description in RNAcentral is "partial contains 5.8S ribosomal RNA, internal transcribed spacer 2, and large subunit ribosomal RNA". The stretch from base 1 to 120 matches the Rfam family "5.8S ribosomal RNA", at positions 35 to 154 of the family's 154-position model. The record is from RNAcentral.
GAUGAAGAACGUAGCGAAAUGCGAUAAGUAAUGUGAAUUGCAGAAUUCAGUGAAUCAUCGAAUCUUUGAACGCACAUUGCGCCCGGUAGUAUUCUGCCGGGCAUGCCUGUCCGAGCGUCAUUUCAACCAUCAAGCCCCAGCGCUUGUGUUGGGGGCCUGCGGCUGCCGCAGCCCCCUAAAAGCAGUGGCGGGCUCGCUAUCACACCGAGUGCAGUAGUUCAUCUUCUCUCCGGUCUUGUGAGGCGGGUUCCGGCCGUGAAACACCCCACUACAUUCAAGGUUGACCUCGGAUCAGGUAGGAAUACCCGCUGAACUUAAGCAUAUCAAUAAGCGGAGGA